GAGAGUAGACUUUCAUGAACUUCAGCCUAACAAAAAAAUUGAAACCAUCCCACCUAGGCGAAGUGAGAGAGACCACCUACUUUUUUCACUUACCUUGGGGAGGAUUAUGAGAGGAUUAAUGAAGAACCUGAUGAAGAACCUUAUUCUUACCUAUAUGCUAUGUCUUGUCCGGAUAAUAAGUUAUGGAAGUAAGCCAUGCAAGAUGAAAUAAAUUCAAUCAUAAAGAACUAUGUAUGAGAAUUAGUCUG
Molecule: long non-coding RNA, 248 nt
Filed under: Amborella trichopoda
Lineage: Eukaryota; Viridiplantae; Streptophyta; Magnoliopsida; Amborellales; Amborellaceae
Description: long non-coding RNA (ATRI_LNC000187)
Source: RNAcentral